CGGGGUCGUGGUGGCUUUCAUGCAGUCGAGCGGUAAGGCCCUUCGGGGUACACGAGCGGCGAACGGGUGAGUAACACGUGAGCAACCUGCCCCUGACUCUGGGAUAAGCGGUGGAAACGCCGUCUAAUACCGGAUACGACCCACCACCUCAUGGUGGAGGGUGGAAAGUUUUAUCGGUCAGGGAUGGGCUCGCGGCCUAUCAGCUUGUUGGUGGGGUAACGGCCUACCAAGGCGAUUACGGGUAGCCGGCCUGAGAGGGCGACCGGCCACACUGGGACUGAGACACGGCCCAGACUCCUGCGGGAGGCAGCAGUGGGGAAUAUUGCACAAUGGGCGAAAGCCUGAUGCAGCGACGCCGCGUGGGGGAUGACGGCCUUCGGGUUGUAAACCUCUUUUACCACCAACGCAGGCUCCACGUUCUCGUGGGGUUGACGGUAGGUGGGGAAUAAGGACCGGCUAACUACGUGCCAGCAGCCGCGGUAAUACGUAGGGUCCGAGCGUUGUCCGGAAUUAUUGGGCGUAAAGAGCUCGUAGGCGGCAUGUCGCGUCUGCUGUGAAAGACCGGGGCUUAACUCCGGUUCUGCAGUGGAUACGGGCAUGCUAGAGGUAGGUAGGGGAGACUGGAAUUCCUGGUGUAGCGGUGAAAUGCGCAGAUAUCAGGAGGAACACCGGUGGCGAAGGCGGGUCUCUGGGCCUUACCUGACGCUGAGGAGCGAAAGCAUGGGGAGCGAACAGGAUUAGAUACCCUGGUAGUCCAUGCCGUAAACGUUGGGCGCUAGGUGUGGGGACUUUCCACGGUU
This 800-nucleotide ribosomal RNA is filed under the name Nocardiopsis sp. JSM 2155010. RNAcentral describes it as "bacterial SSU rRNA". It matches the Rfam family "Bacterial small subunit ribosomal RNA", at positions 37 to 839 of the family's 1533-position model. Lineage: Bacteria; Bacillati; Actinomycetota; Actinomycetes; Streptosporangiales; Nocardiopsidaceae. The record is from RNAcentral.